This 22-nucleotide microRNA is filed under the name Haemonchus contortus (barber pole worm). Its description in RNAcentral is "hco-miR-5991". The record is from miRBase by way of RNAcentral. Lineage: Eukaryota; Metazoa; Nematoda; Chromadorea; Rhabditida; Trichostrongylidae.
UGAGGUAGUAGGUGGUGUUCGA